Panthera uncia (snow leopard) is the source of this 3125-nucleotide long non-coding RNA. RefSeq lists it as uncharacterized. The record is from RefSeq and is a predicted model, not a curated record. Lineage: Eukaryota; Metazoa; Chordata; Mammalia; Carnivora; Felidae. The transcript has 2 exons.
GCAGAUUUUUUUUUCUAGAAUUCAUCUGGUUAAUUAUAAAAUUUAUAUUUUGUUCAUCUUUCUCUGUGGUUGAACUUGGAACCUAAUUGGAAGAUGAUUUCCUUGAGAAGCUCUGAAUUUGCUUUGCCAGGAAUUCAGGUGUGUUCCUAAUACCUUUCCUGCGGUCCCUACUUUGCCUUGAGGCCAUGGCUCGGUGCAUUUACCCUCUGAGCAACCAUGCCUGUUAUGGUCAGCCUCAUUUUUUCUUCUCAUUUGGUAUUCUUGGAGAUUUUUCUUAUGUUCUAUGAGGCCAACGGCGCAACAAGCAUUACAUUUUGUGCUGGGUUAAUUUACUUUGUUGCAAUAGAAGAAUCUUCUGUUUAGCUUACCAAGAGGAUAGAGUGGAGAUCACCUGAUUAUUUUAUAAGUAUGUUUGUUAUUAAUUUUGUAGAUUUCCCAGUCUCAUUUCCUUUAGUGGAAAGAGAAAUAUCCUUUUCAGUCUCCUGUAAAAAUUUGGGUUUUGUUGUCUUGCAGCUUCUUGUGGUGUCUGUGUCAUUUCGUAAGUUGUCAGAAUUCAUUCUUCCGUAGCAGUGUUUAAGAAAGUGAGAAGAGAGGCAGAAGUCAUAAUAUUUACUUAAAUUUAUUACACACUAACUUAAAAGGAGAAGAGGUAAUGGCACAAUCCUUUCUAGCAUUUAAACAGAAUUCCGGGGGCACCUGGGUGGCUUAGUCGGUUGAGCAACCUACUCUUGAAUUCAGUUCAGGUCAUGAUCUCACAGUUCAUGGGAUCGAGCCCCAUGUCCGGCUCUUUGCUGACAGUGCGGAACCUGCUUGGGAGUCUCUCUCUCCCUUUGCCCCUCUUCCCUUCUCGUGCUGUCUCUCUCUCAAAAUAAAUAAAUAAACAUUAAAAAAACGAAGUUCCAGUUUUGGAGUCGUGCAGUAUAGCUACUUAUAUAGGAUUUUAAUUCACUAGGAGACUAGGCUGAAAGAAAGUGCUUUUAUGACAAAUGAAAAAUUACCAAAAUAUGUUUCCUGGAACAGGUGAUUAAAACGGAGACUUGUUUGAGCUUAAAAGGAUUGGGGGAUAUAUAAAACCACUAUAUAUUGAUUACAGAUUAGGUCACAUAGCAUUAAACUUUAGUGCUAUGUUGACUGACAUUUUGUCAGUGAAUAGCAUAUUUGAUGUCAUUUUAGCCUAGUUGAGUGUUUUGUUUUUUUUUUUUAAUUUUUUAAUGUUUAUUUGGGGGGUUGGGAGGGCAGAGAGAGAGGGAGACACAGAAUCGGAAGCAGGCUCCAGGCUCCGAGCUGUCAGCACACAGCCUAACGCAGGGCUUGAACUCACAAACCGCGAGAUCAUGACCUGAGCUGAAGUCGGACGUUAAACUGACUGACCACCCAGGCGCCCCCUAGUUGAGUGGAUUUAAUGAGCUCAAUGGAUGAUAAAUAAAAUUUACAGUGCUAAUUAUAAUUUCCCCUCCAAAAGAUAGUUUUCUGUUUAGAAAAGAAAUGCCUGUGCCAACUUACUAGAUUCUUUCAGAAACAGUUCAUUGAAGAUAUAAUUUUGAAUUUCAGUGAAGUGAUUUUUUAUGGAGAGCUAUUAAAACCCACAUGAAUCCAAGUAUUCUAAUUAAGUCCUUUUGGUCUGAGAUUUUAUUAAAUUACAGACAUAAUAGAUUAAUGUUUCUUUAAUAAGAACAUGUACAGAUAAUAAUAAUAGUAUCUCAUUUCUUGCUUGGUGUAGCUAAUUUGUCGAGCAGUUUUUAAAUUGCUGCAUACAAAUCCCAAAUGUUUUGAAAUGGAAUGUUGAGGAAAAAGGUUUGAAAUUACUUAGCCUUUGAUUUUUCUUUCCUUGUCAUUUCUGCUAAAUAGCAGUAGUAUGUUAGGCUUUCUACAGACUGUAGUUCCUUUAAAUUUUGCUCUGUGUUAGAUCAGCCUGGUUUUAUUUAUUUUGUCAAGUUUAUUUACUUAUUUUGAGAGAGAGUGCAUGCACAAGCAGGGGGAGGGAUAGAGAGAGAAUGAAGGAGAGAAUCCCAAGCAGGCUCCACGAUGUCAGCGCGUCAGCAUGGAGCCUGCUGCAGGCCUCAGUCUCACAAACUCUGAGAUCAUGACCUGAGCCCAAAUCAAGAGUCAAACGCUUAACUGACUGAGCCACCCGGGCGCCCCUAGACCAGCCUGGUUGUAGAUAAAAUGUGUAUAUUUUUUAACUGAGAUAUAAUUCAAAUACCAUGACAUGCCCUCUUUUAAAAUAUACAGUUGAGUGGUUUGUGGUGUAUUAGCCACAUACAAAGAUGUGCAGUCAUCAACACUGUCUAAUCUCAGAAUAUCUUCAUUACCCUAAAUGUGUAUUUUUAUUGUGUCUAUUACACUUUAGAUAACUGAGCAAGGGAGUAAUAUUUUACUUGCCUUACUUAUAUGUAUUCUAAUUAUUUAUAUUACUAAUAUUUAUACUUUUCAGAAAAAAGGAUCAAGUUUUGUAUCCUUUAAUUUUGAACAGAAUCUCCAGUCUGGCAUCAGAGUAUUCUUUGAUUUAUUUACUUCUCCACAAAUAAAUUGAGUUGCCUAUCCUGUGUGGUAAACAAGUUAUUAUGAUGUCGUGUGAGAACUUCCAUAAUAAAAAUACACACAGUAUUCAAUUCACAGGAUCCUUGAGACAAGGUGGGAGCAGCAGAAUAUGCAGGGAAGCUUUACAGAGGAGUUCAUGUUCAGAAGUAGGUGUUGGCAUCUUUGUUAGAAUUUGCUAGAAAGAGAAGGGCUUUGAGGUCAAAGUAAAUAAUAAAGGGCAGAGACCUAGUUAGCAUGUCUCACAGAUCUUUGUUAGUUGUGAUUUAGGACAAGAAUUUGGCAGUCCAGUAGUAUAGGUGAGUAUUCAGAAAACAGUGGAGGACAAGUGGGGUACUUAGGUAGUCAGCUUUUUUGUGUCGCACUCAAAAACUUGGGGAAACUACAUUUUUUGCCUACAUUUAAGAAAUCUCGAAGAGCGUUAAGAAAUCUUGAGAAGCUGGUAGCAGCGCCCCAAGCAUCUGACUCUUGAUUUCGGCUCAAGUUAUGGUCUCAUGGUUUGUGGGUUUGAGCCCUGUGUCGGGCCCUGGGGUGAGUGUGGAGCCCGCUUGGGAUUCUCUCUGCCCCCUCCCCUGCUCUCUCUCUCU